GGGAAUCCCGUGGCAAGCGAGGUAGGAGUCGCGUUGGCAAAUCCGCGUGACAAUCCGAAGACGUGAUGCAUACCGAACUAAAGUAGGGAAAUGUGUGAGCCAGCUGCCAAGAAAAGCCGCUAUUGUUUGUACUGUACCCGUACCGUAAACCGACACAGGUAGGUGAGGAGAGAAUCCUAAGGCCGACGGGAGAAGCAUUGUUAAGGAACUCGGCAAAAGACUCCGUAACUUCGGGAGAAGGAGUGCCAGUGAGAGCUGGCCGCAGAGAAUUGGCCCAAGCAACUGUUUAGCAAAAACACAGGUCUAUGCAAAACCGUAAGGUGAAGUAUAUGGGCUGACGCCUGCCCGGUGCUGGAAGGUUAAGGGGAGAGGUUAGCGCAAGCGAAGCUUUGAACUUAAGCCCCAGUAAACGGCGGCCGUAACAAUAACGGUCCUAAGGUAGCGAAAUUCCUUGUCGGGUAAGUUCCGACCCGCACGAAAGGCGUAAUGAUUUGGGCACUGUCUCAACAAUGCACCCGGUGAAAUUGAAAUACCAGUGAAGAUGCUGGUUACCUGCGCCAGGACGGAAAGACCCCAUGGAGCUUUACUCCAGCUUGAUACUGGGAUUCGAUAUUGUAUGUACAGGAUAGGUGGGAGGCGAAGAAGCAUUGACGCCAGUUGAUGCGGAGCCGCUGUAGGGAUACCACCCUUGCAGUAUUGGAUUUCUAACCAGCAGCCGUGACCCGGCUGGGGGACAAUGUCAGGUGGGGAGUUUGACUGGGGCGGUCGCCUCCGAAAGGGUAUCGGAGGCGCUCAAAGGUUCCCUCAGAAUGGUUGGAAACCAUUCGAAGAGUGCAAAGGCAGAAGGGAGCUUGACUGCGACACCGACGGGUGGAGCAGGUACGAAAGUAGGACUUAGUGAUCCGGUGGUAUAAAGUGGGAUUGCCAUCGAUCAACGGAUAAAAGCUACCCUGGGAUAACAGGCUUAUCACUCCCAAGAGUUCACAUCGACGGAGUGGUUUGGCACCUCGAUGUCGGCUCAUCGCAUCCUGGGGCUGAAGUAGGUCCCAAGGGUUGGGCUGUUCGCCCAUUAAAGCGGUACGCGAGCUGGGUUCAGAACGUCGUGAGACAGUUCGGUCCCUAUCCGGCGUGGGCGUAGGAUAUUUGAGAGGAGCUGGCCUUAGUACGAGAGGACCGGGUUGGACUGACCGCUGGUGUAUCUGUUGUUCCGCCAGGAGCAUGGCAGAGUAGCCAAGUCAGGAAGGGAUAAACGCUGAAGGCAUCUAAGUGUGAAGCCCCCCUCAAGAUGAGAUAUCCCAACGUAGAGUUGUAAGACCCCUUGAAGACGACAAGGUAGGUAGGGCAGAGGUGGAAGUGCAGUAAUGCAUGGAGCUGACUGUAACUAAUCGGUCGAGGGCAUAACAAC
This 1405-nucleotide ribosomal RNA is filed under the name metagenome. Its description in RNAcentral is "bacterial LSU rRNA". It matches the Rfam family "Bacterial large subunit ribosomal RNA", at positions 1500 to 2925 of the family's 2925-position model. The record is from RNAcentral.